This 60-nucleotide transfer RNA is filed under the name Raillietina tetragona. Its description in RNAcentral is "tRNA-Arg". The record is from RNAcentral. Lineage: Eukaryota; Metazoa; Platyhelminthes; Cestoda; Cyclophyllidea; Davaineidae.
AACAUAUAAAUUUGACUUAUGUUACGGCCAUAAGGGGGGCAGAUUAACUGUCAUAUGUUU